RNAcentral lists this ribosomal RNA (433 nucleotides) under uncultured bacterium. Its description in RNAcentral is "partial 16S ribosomal RNA". It matches the Rfam family "Bacterial small subunit ribosomal RNA", at positions 29 to 507 of the family's 1533-position model. The record is from RNAcentral.
AACGAACGCUGGCGGCAUGCCUAACACAUGCAAGUCGAACGAGACCUUCGGGUCUAGUGGCGCACGGGUGCGUAACGCGUGGGAACCUGCCCUUAGGUUCGGAAUAACUCCCCGAAAGGGGUGCUAAUACCGGAUAAUGUCUUCGGACCAAAGAUUUAUCGCGUUUGGAUGGGCCCGCGUUGGAUUAGCUAGUUGGUAGGGUAAAAGCCUACCAAGGCGACGAUCCAUAGCUGGUCUGAGAGGAUGAUCAGCCACACUGGGACUGAGACACGGCCCAGACUCCUACGGGAAGCAGCAGUGGGGAAUAUUGGACAAUGGGGGAAAGCCUGAUCCAGCAAUGCCGCGUGAGUGAUGAAGGCCUUAGGGUUGUAAAGCUCUUUUACCCGGGAUGAUAAUGACAGUACCGGGAGAAUAAGCUCCGGCUAACUCCGUG